This 23-nucleotide microRNA is filed under the name Gallus gallus (chicken). RNAcentral describes it as "gga-miR-726-5p". Its record names the gene gga-miR-726-5p. Lineage: Eukaryota; Metazoa; Chordata; Aves; Galliformes; Phasianidae. The record is from miRBase by way of RNAcentral.
GGAAUUCCGCCCGUUCUGAGCUC